This 253-nucleotide ribosomal RNA is filed under the name uncultured bacterium. RNAcentral's name for it is "partial 16S ribosomal RNA". It matches the Rfam family "Bacterial small subunit ribosomal RNA", at positions 524 to 776 of the family's 1533-position model. The record is from RNAcentral.
UACGUAGGGGGCUAGCGUUGUCCGGAAUCAUUGGGCGUAAAGAGCGCGUAGGCGGCUAGAUAAGUCCGGUGUGAAAGUCACAGGCUCAACCCUGGGAUGCCGGUGGAUACUGUCGGGCUCGAGUCCGGAAGAGGAGUGUGGAAUUCCCGGUGUAGCGGUGAAAUGCGCAGAUGUCAGGAGGAACACCAAUGGCGAAGGCAGCACUCUGGGACGUGACUGACGCUGAGACGCGAAAGCGUGGGGAGCGAACAGG